This 2040-nucleotide long non-coding RNA is filed under the name Oreochromis niloticus (Nile tilapia). RNAcentral's name for it is "lncRNA (ENSONIG00000028081.1)". The record is from RNAcentral. Lineage: Eukaryota; Metazoa; Chordata; Actinopteri; Cichliformes; Cichlidae.
GAGCUGUUAUUUACCGUUAGCACUUUUCUUGGGAAAAUCCAGAGCUUGGCCAUAUCAAUUUUUCCAUACAUUGCAGGGCAAUGUGAUGGAUAAAUUAAAAUAAUAAUAAUAAUAAUAAUAAUAAUAAUAAUAAUAAUAUUUAAGCUGUAGCUGUAGGCGCCCCUUUCUGGCACUUUCUGGUGAAGUCCUCCCCAUCGUGUCACCGUGCUUCAUUCAUAUGGUUAGCCGGUGCUUUGGAUUUGGGGUAAGAUCCUUGUGGCCACCCCCUGAGAAGGCGUGUAGUUGCUCGAUGCAACCGCUGGGCUUGUAACUUGACACCUGGCCGUGCGGUGCAUUUGCCAUCGCUUUACCCACAGAAAGCCUAUUUAAAAAGGAAAGGGAUGAGUCCAACGCUCCUGACUCCGUAACCCCCUUUCAAAAGAACCCAGCUUUCGCUCUCCCUCUCUCUCUCUGGCCGCGCGUCCCUCCAAACUGGAUCGGCAUAAAUGAAUGAAACACAAGGGAAUAUCGACAGACAACCGCACAGGAAAACUCUCUGUCAAAGCAGCCUGUCAGGAGGAAUUUAUACUGGACUUGACAGGCAAUUCAACAUGAGUUUUUUCCUCUGGAACUUCACCUCAAGCUUGUCAAAUGCGUAAAGCGGCGACCGGUGUCUUUUUUUGCCCCCCUUGCAAAGGAGUCACACUGUGAUUAAAGGAUCAGGUUUUUGACUGCCAGGACAAAUGAAUACAAAUGAAUUUAGGCACCCGAAGGAGAGAUUGCAGAACCUCUCGUCUAGACACAAAGAGAGCCCUAUUGCUCUGUACCAUUUUAUACUGUACUUGUUACCUGGGACUUACACAAGUACCCUCUGAAGGUAAGGUUUCCACACUCACCUCCACAUACUGCACUUUCUGACCUCUUUUGUUUGUGCUGGGAAAAAAAACUCUGUAAAACUCUGUAAGGAACACUGGUGAGAUUUUGCAGUUAUUCUUUGCCUUUUUGGUCAUGGCCCAAGCACAUAAACACUUUGCUAAGAGAAUUGGGCCAGCCGUUGCCAUAACAACAGGUGUUGAGUAAGCUAAGUCCAAGGAUCUAGGGAGUGAUCAGCUCAACGAUUCAACGAUCCAAUGUUGACCAUUAAUCUAAAAAAAAAAAAAAAUGUAAAACCUCAUGUCAGUCAGAGGUUAAAGUCAAAAUUUUGUCUGGACAGCUGCACUGCUGAAGAACCCAAUUAGCAAAGCAUUUUUAAAGUCUAAUAUUUUUCACAAUGUGUAAAAGGGCAAAAGGGAAAAGUCUGACGAUGUGAAACGUGUACUAGAAUUUGGAGAUGCCUAAACCAGGAGUUUGCCUCCACUUUGCAGAACGUUUUAUACAGUUAAUUCAGUUUUAUUCAUACUUUAUUUAUAUAGCACGUAUUUACAAAGCAUUUAGCGAGAUGUGCCUUAUUAUUGUGCUCAGCUCUUUUGCAGACACUUUUCAUCUACUGUAGACAUCCUACUCCGCAGCAAACAGCAGACUGAACAGUUACAGGCUUGCUGGUCAAUAUAGUCAAGCAUUUAGCAGCUAUUUAAGGCACUGGUAUUGACCAAAAAUACUGCAUAAGGACUUUGAUGAGGCAAGCAGAGUCAUUAUCCAUUAUCCAUUAUCCAUAAAUGCAGGACGUUAAAACAUUUUCAGCUGAUUGCUAACAGGCUUGCCUUUAACCGAGAUGUUAAGUCAGUGUUACAUUCACAAUUUUGCAUCCAAGUAGCCUUAAAAGUCAGUUAUUGCAGAUUUAAUUGAAAACGUUGAGUGUGUUUCUGUUUGAUCUCCUUUUGGUACCAUUUGGAGGUUUCUUCUGAUGAUGAGUUAUCGAUACAGUCCAGUGAAUUGGCCCCCAUGCUCUAGUCAUUAUGAUUGAGACUGACAGCACACAGACUUCAGUAGGCCCGACAAAGCAGUGACUGAAAACUGAUGGCCGACAAAACCAAAUGUCAUUUCAGUUCAUUACAUCAAGGCUUUUCCACAGUCACAGCUCUGCAAAUAAGUCUUUGAAAAACUGACACCUGUUCUUUAAAG